ACUUAAAUAGUUUAAUAUAAAAUAUUGAUUUGUGGUAUCAAAGAUAUAGGUUUAUUUUAGGUU
This 63-nucleotide transfer RNA is filed under the name Epitrix abeillei. RNAcentral's name for it is "tRNA-His". The record is from RNAcentral. Lineage: Eukaryota; Metazoa; Arthropoda; Insecta; Coleoptera; Chrysomelidae.